GACGAACGCUGGCGGCGUGCCUAAUACAUGCAAGUCGAACGCAGUUGCGAACGGGUGAGUAACGUGUAGGUAACUGCCUUAUUGCCGGGGCAAACUUUCUGAAACGAUACCUAAUCCCGCAUACUGUGAGAUGGACCUGCGUUGUAUUAGCUAGUUGGUGAGGUAAAGGCUAACCAAGGCGACGAUACAUAGCCGACCUGAGAGGGGGAGCGGGCACCAGGGGCCUGGGACACGGCCCAGAAUGCUACGGGAGGGAGCAGGAGGGAAACUGCGGAAAUGGGCGGAAGGCGGGACGAGCAACGGCGGGGGAGUGGAGGAGGUGAUCGGAGCGUAAAGCUAUGUGGUUAGAGAAGCGGUAACUACCGAGAAAGGGACGGCUAACUACGGGACAGCCGCCGCGGUAAUUC
RNAcentral lists this ribosomal RNA (407 nucleotides) under uncultured bacterium. Its description in RNAcentral is "partial 16S ribosomal RNA". It matches the Rfam family "Bacterial small subunit ribosomal RNA", at positions 28 to 526 of the family's 1533-position model. The record is from RNAcentral.